AUUCAGUUGGUAGAGUACAAAGCUCUUAACCUUGUGGACAUGGGUUCAAGCCCCAU
RNAcentral lists this transfer RNA (56 nucleotides) under Triticum aestivum (bread wheat). It matches the Rfam family "tRNA", at positions 10 to 63 of the family's 71-position model. From Rfam's summary of the family: Transfer RNA (tRNA) molecules are approximately 80 nucleotides in length. Their secondary structure includes four short double-helical elements and three loops (D, anti-codon, and T loops). The record is from Rfam by way of RNAcentral. Lineage: Eukaryota; Viridiplantae; Streptophyta; Magnoliopsida; Poales; Poaceae. RNAcentral also lists the same sequence under 1 other name.